RNAcentral lists this long non-coding RNA (4721 nucleotides) under Sorghum bicolor (sorghum). Its description in RNAcentral is "long non-coding RNA (SBIC_LNC007692)". The record is from RNAcentral. Lineage: Eukaryota; Viridiplantae; Streptophyta; Magnoliopsida; Poales; Poaceae.
UACAUCCCGGCGUAUUCGUCGUCAACUCAAGCGAAGUCUUCCACCGCCGCUCAUCAACGUCAACGAUCUCGACCAUGCCUUCGAUGGCUACGACAUCGAGCUCGCCUUCGACAACCUCAAUCUUACGCCAUCCUCGUCUGCAUCUCCACCACCAAGUACUUCUACAGCUAGCAGGUAUAAUCUUAGUGAUCUAAUCUUGUCAUUUAUAUGUCCAAUCUAUCUAGUGUAUGAACUAUGUUUACACUAGUCAUCAUGUUCAUGCUAUGCGAUAUCAUGAUCUGUUUUGCUAGUAUGUGUGAUUUGUUAAUCUGCCAUGCUAGUAUUCUUUACGUGCUUAAUCUAGUUCAUCAUCUAGUCAUGUUUUAUGUUCUGGUUUUAAUCUGAAAAUUAAUCUGGAAUUUGUCUAAUUAUUUAACAUCAGAAACAUAAAGAAACAGCGCUUGCAGCGGCAUCCAGAAUACACAGUUUAUAGUAUGGUUCGAAAAGAUGUGAUCGUUGAGGAACUGAGUACACUAUAACAAAACAGCACAAAGGAGACGCCUAAAUCAGUGACCUUCAAUUGAAACGUAUCACUUAUGUCAGAUCAGUGACGCGUGUAAACUAAAUACGUCAUUUAGGUGUCAUCUAUGGUAAGGAAACGAAAUGCGUCACUAAUGACAACAUAUUAGAGACUCUUCUCCACAACGUGUCACUGGUAACCAGAGACUCGUUGGGAGGAAACAUGUCACUCCUAAAAGAUAUCGGACCCAAAAAAUUAUCAAAUAUUGCUAAACUAAAGAGUUAAGUCUUUCGUCCCCCUCCCAUCUGGAUCUGGCCGUGCCCACUCAUGGACGCACUGUGUCACCCAUUCCUAUCCUAUCUCUCUCGCCUCUCCGCCACCAUAUCCCUCUUUCUCCUCCAGAUCUGGCUGGAGUGCCUUCACCUCCUUGUGCCAAGAACAAUGGUGCAGACGGUACUACUCCAGGCAGCACAAGCGGGGAUGGCUUCGGACAGCACAUGCAGGGGUAGAUGAAAACGGAACGGAAAUAUCCCGAAUCGAACCGAACCGCUUUCUAUAUUUGAUCCGAUCGAAUUCGUAUUUUUUUGUCCGACUAUAUCGUUUUCGCUUUCGUAUUUUAGAUGUUUCGUAUUUUAAAUAUAAAAGUAGAAAACGGUUUUGACAUUUUUCGACCGUUUUCUACUUUUCUACUUUUAAUAUGAAAUAUUUCGAAUUCAAAAUUUGGUUUAAACCGAAUUUAGCCAACUGUAGAGUCACACAGCCCAAUUAUAGACUACUCACCAUGCAUCUGCGUUCUUUCUACUAGUGGCUAGUUGUGUUCAUGUUAGCUAUUAAUUGCUUAUUCUAGACUUGUAUUUAUAUGUGGGCUAUUGUAUUAAAUACCUAAGACUAAGGAGUAUGCACUUUUUAAUUAUUAUAUGCACUUGAACUUGAUCCUAUUUAUACUUUUAGUCAUGCACUUGGUACUAUAUAUCGGUAUUUCGUAUUGAGUUUUCAUAUAUCGACCGUGUUCGACAUAAAUCCGAUCGAAUUGGUUCGUUUUCGAAAUUCUCGAUAUUUCGUAAGUUCGUGUUCGUUUUCGUGUCCGACUUUACCGUUUUUGUUUUCGUUUUCGUAUUUCAAAUGUAAAAGUAGAAAACAAUUUAGGAGUUUUUCGACCGUUUUCAUCCUGAUGCGGGUCCCUACCGACAACGGUGCAUGUGCCCGGGGCCCGUAUCGGUGAUGGCGCACACCGUACCCUACCAGGUAUGGCGGGUGGGCCCCCUGCACCGGUAGUGGUGAGCACCCUCCCCAUCCCACUCCCCUUCCCCGCAGCACCUGCUCAUGCAAGGUCUAGGAGGCUGUGGACGUGCCUUCAGCCAGACUGUCUUCAGCGCACAUGCCUAGCAUCGGCACAAUGCCUGCAAGACCACCUGGCUUUAAUGUCGCAAAAUUUUCUAAAACUUAAAUUUGUUUGAACUGCAAUGUCUAUGCUAACUUAUAUUCAGAUUUGUUUUCUCUACCAAACUGGUCACCAAAUAAAUGUAAUCUGUGUAUGCCUUUGCAGUCAUGGUUUCAUUGUGGUCACUCCUCAAAUAUGUUUUGUUUUUUACAUGUGUGAUGCUGUGCCAUUAUAAAUGCAAUCUGUCUAUGCAAAUUCUUGGUGAUUUAUUUUUCAGAUAUGCACACAUCGGACUAUGCAGAUUUGCACUGGACCUACAUAGUCGGGGUGAACAUCUCUUUUUUUUUCAUGUCGGCACAUACUGAAAUACACAUCACUGGCUUCUCUGUAUUUUACUUAGGAUAUCUGGCCAUGUAGCAAUAUCAGUGAUAUUUUUGCAGCCAUUGAAAACUUUGUUAGUCUGUUACAUGUUUUUGAACUAUAUUUAAUUUCGAAAAAAAAGCUUUUUGAACAGUAUUUAAUUUCAUAAAAAACUUUGUCUCUCCGGCACCCACUUCCUUGUUUUACGAGACCAACGGAUUGACUAAGUCGGUUGCACCCUCCGCUAAAGAACUUAGCGUGUUUAUUUCACCUCAAAAACCAAAAACUUUUCAAGAUUCUCCAUCACAUCGAAUCUUACGGUAUAUGUAUGAAACAUUAAAUAUAAAUAAAAACAAAAACUAAUUGCACAGUUUGUCUGUAAAUCGCAAGAUGAAUCUCUUAAGCCUAGUUACUAAUAUGAUUGGAUAAUGUUUGUCAAAUAAAAACGAAAGUGCUACAGUAUCAAAAUCUAAAAACCUUUUGGAUCUAAACAAGGCCUGCAUGCAAGAAAUGUAUUGUAAUUUGUAUUAACUGCACAUGCAGUUGGCCGUAAGAUGAAGCCGAGUAUGUACCUGGAUUCUGUUUUCAUGACACAGCAAGCAUUGUUGUUACUUUCAGCAGGGCAGGCGGCCACUUGGCAAUAUGAUAUAUGACGAUAACCUUCAUUUAGAGAUUAGAAUAUGAUAACCUUGGCAUUCCGAUAUCUUUUCAGAAAGCUCGACGCCUUAGUUUCCAAGGCAAUGGAUUCGAGAAGCAAGGAGCAGACAGUUUGGAGAUAAAGUAAAGGUUAAAGACAUUAAAGCAACUAAACAGAAAGUGUCAGAUUGGUCAGUUAAUAGGCCUUGUUUAGUUUCCAACUCAAAAAAUUUUCAACCAUCACAUCGAAUAUUUGGACGCAUGCAUAAAUAUUAAAUAUAGAUAAAAAAUAAAUUAAUUACACAAUUUAGUUGGAAAUCACGAGACCAAUCUCUUAAGCCUAAUUAGUCUAUGAUUAGCCUUAAGUGCUACAGUAACAUACAUGUGCUAAUGGUAGAUUAAUUAGGCUUAAUAAAUUUGUCUCGUAGUUUCCAGCCGAGUUAUGUAAUUAGUUUUUUUUAUUACUAUCCGAACACCCCUUUCGAUAUCCUACGAAACAUUCGAUGUGACACCCAAAAAUUUUUCCCUCUCCAACUAAGCAAUGCUUUGUUUCUUAGUUUGCUGUUGACUUGAGCGAGCCCCUAGUGUCAAACGAUUUUUAUAGACGCCUCUAUUUUUUUCAGAGGCAGCUGAAUUUAUUAAAACUGUUUUUUGAAAUCGUUUCUUGGGCGCCGAAAAAUGGCCUACUCCAUGGAAAUGGACUUCCGGUGGUUCUUGAUGUACUCGCUAGCUGCCCAUGAAAAUCAAUAGAAAAGAAACUAAUUUUUCAUCUUAAUCCUUAUGUAUUAAAAAGGAACCUCCUCCUGGUAGUCAGGUUUAUCGUCCCUGAUACUACACCUCCCAUAGUUAAGCAUGAAUGAUGGCAGCGCAAUCAUUUCAUACCAGGUCGCUAGCAGUGAACAACUUUGCAGCGAAAUUCAGAUUAAGAAACGAAAUAUGGAGUUUAUCAGUGGUGGUGGAGUAUAUCGAGUUUAUCAAGUUUAUGGAGUUUAACGAGUAUAACAUUGUCUUAAUUGGUGGAGUAUAACAGUAUGCUAGACGGUAUAGAGAACGACUGAUAUUGUAGAUAUAGUCCAUGCGGCCACGUGGCUGGCAGGAGCUGGACAGAGCAGUACGUUCAUCGAAGGUGCCAGUGUGCCACCAAGUGCUUUGAUGAUUCACCAUAGCUUCCAAUUUACUAGUUGGGCUUCUGUAGUUUCGUCAAAUGAUAACAUCUAUAAGGCCGUACCAGAGAAAUCAAUGGGUAGCUCAUAACACAAAUAAAACAUGAGAAACAGAGUACAUUAACCGUUGAUAAAUUACAAAGAGUUCAAGUUUGUUCUCAGCAUACCAAUCCAUACAUACACACCAUGUAGCUCCAUUCUGGGUGGCAGUCUGAAACAACCAGUUACUAACAGAAAUACAUAUAAAACUCAAACAGACCAAGCAAAGCAGCACAAACAUAAUAUGUCCCUGACAAAAAUUAUUACAUGAAACAAAACACACUCAAACACAAAUCAUGAUACAUACAGCUCACGUAGGUUCAUAGAAUGGAGACGACACGCCUUAGUGGCGUUCAUGGCACCGAGCUGAGGAUAUGCAACAUUGCAACUCACCUGAGGUACCUUCGGAUGAUAUGUUUCCUGCGUGAAACAAACUCUGGUGGAGGGAUAUGCAUGUAGUAGUGAUUCUGCUCUGGCUACUCAGCCUGUUCCAUCACUCCUGUUCUCCACUCACCUCCACCUUUGACCUUGGAUGUUUCAUCUUCAGGAGCAGGAGACGGUGAAAGGAGUGGCAGCCCCUGACAAAGAGCUUCUCCCACUUUGGUGUUUCAAACUGAAACUUAACAUUAUCAUGGAUGUGCAG